GGUUUAUUUAGAGUAUGUUUAAUGCAUGGUACAGUAUCUACGCUUUAAGUUCUCUCGCUUCUCUACAUGUCAGUUAAAAACUACAUCAUAACUUAGAAGUUUGAGUGACGAGUAUGUCCGACGACCACGGAAAGGCCUGCGAAGUUUUUACUCUUGUGCAAUCGAGUGAGAUCAUAUAAAUUGAUUAUCGCGUAUCAUGUCUAUAAGGACUAUUAUAAAAUAGAUCGAAAUAAACAUAGCAAAAUCGCAAUUCACGAAACAGACCAGUUCUUAAUUUCUCAUUUCACGCAGCAUUUUUAUCGACAAUCACGCCUCACGGCUGUAGAACAAAUCACAUUUCGCGACACUAAAAUCAAGCAUUUCAUAUUUCACGCGAACAAAUA
Paramuricea clavata is the source of this 383-nucleotide non-coding RNA. The record is from the annotation of a GenBank genome assembly. Lineage: Eukaryota; Metazoa; Cnidaria; Anthozoa; Malacalcyonacea; Plexauridae.